UGGGAGGCUGAGGCAGGAGAAUCGCUUGAACCUGGGAGGUGGAAGUUGCAGUGAGCCGAGAUCGUACCACUGCACUCCAGCCUGGGAGACAGAGUGAGGCUCCGUCUCAAAAAAAAAAAAAAAGAAAAGAGAGAGAGAGAAAGGACGAGUCACACAACACCCUCUGGGGAAGAAAACUGCAGCAGGGCCACGCAGGCUGGGGGCCGUGUCAGGGGUCCAAGACCAGCUGGCACUCCAACCAGCAUCUCCUGCCUCCAACACAGGACAUAGACACCCUGCCCCAUGACCCAGCACUGCAGGGCUGGGGUUGGCAAGUGCUCAGGCUGACACCUCCUGCUGCUGGUUCUCUCUGCCUCCUUCUCAACCUUCCCUAGGCCACUGCUCACAUGCAGGAUGGUGAAAGUUGCCUCCUCCCUGUCUGAGGACCCCACAAGGUCCACCCCCACCUACGAUGUCUGUCACUGUCACAUAGGAGGGACGCAUGUAGGCGGGACUCCAUACGCCAUGGCCAGGCCAACCCCCACCACUCCACCCCCACGAACGAUGUCUGUCACUGUCACAUAGGAGGGACGCACGUAGGCGGGACUCCACACGCCAUGGCCAGGCCAACCCCCGCCACUCCACCCCCACCUACGAAGUCUGUCACUGUCACAUAGGAGGGACGCACGUAAGUGGGACCCCACAUGCUAUGGCCAGGCCAACCCCCGCCUACGAUGUCUGUCACUGUCA
Molecule: long non-coding RNA, 729 nt
Filed under: Homo sapiens (human)
Lineage: Eukaryota; Metazoa; Chordata; Mammalia; Primates; Hominidae
Description: non-protein coding lnc-ZNF444-2:1
Source: RNAcentral